This 251-nucleotide ribosomal RNA is filed under the name uncultured prokaryote. RNAcentral's name for it is "partial 16S rRNA". It matches the Rfam family "Bacterial small subunit ribosomal RNA", at positions 525 to 775 of the family's 1533-position model. The record is from RNAcentral.
ACGUAGGUGGCGAGCGUUGUCCGGAAUCACUGGGCGUAAAGGGCGCGUAGGCGGCUUGACAAGUCGCAUGUGAAGGACCAGGGCUCAACCCUGGGAGGGCAUGCGAAACUGGCUAGCUUGAGUGCAGUAGAGGUGGGUAGAAUUCCUGGUGUAGCGGUAAAAUGCGUAGAGAUCAGGAGGAACACCGGUGGCGAAGGCGGCCUCCUGGGCGAAAACUGACGCUGAUGUGCGAAAGCGUGGGGAGCAAACAG